CAGGAAGUAGUUUAAAAUUAGAAUUUUGGAUUUGGGUGCCAAUGGUAAGAUUUAAAAAAAAUUUCUUCUUUCUGA
RNAcentral lists this transfer RNA (75 nucleotides) under Microcaecilia sp. PZ-2009. RNAcentral describes it as "tRNA-Pro". The record is from RNAcentral. Lineage: Eukaryota; Metazoa; Chordata; Amphibia; Gymnophiona; Siphonopidae.